RNAcentral lists this ribosomal RNA (577 nucleotides) under uncultured bacterium. Its description in RNAcentral is "partial 16S ribosomal RNA". It matches the Rfam family "Bacterial small subunit ribosomal RNA", at positions 355 to 921 of the family's 1533-position model. The record is from RNAcentral.
UGGGGAAUAUUGCACAAUGGGCGCAAGCCUGAUGCAGCCAUGCCGCGUGUGUGAAGAAGGCCUUCGGGUUGUAAAGCACUUUCAGCGAGGAGGAAGGUGGUGAGCUUAAUACGCUCAUCAAUUGACGUUACUCGCAGAAGAAGCACCGGCUAACUCCGUGCCAGCAGCCGCGGUAAUACGGAGGGUGCAAGCGUUAAUCGGAAUUACUGGGCGUAAAGCGCACGCAGGCGGUUUGUUAAGUCAGAUGUGAAAUCCCCGGGCUCAACCUGGGAACUGCAUUUGAAGCUGGCAAGCUAGAGUCUCGUAGAGGGGGGUAGAAUUCCAGGUGUAGCGGUGAAAUGCGUAGAGAUCUGGAGGAAUACCGGUGGCGAAGGCGGCCCCCUGGACGAAGACUGACGCUCAGGUGCGAAAGCGUGGGGCAGCAAACAGGAUUAGAUACCCUGGUAGUCCACGCUGUAAACGGAUGUCGAUUUUGGAGGUUGUGCCCUUGAGGCGUGGCUUCCGGAGCUAACGCGUUAAAUCGACCGCCUGGGGAGUACGGCCGCAAGGUUAAAACUUAAAUGAAUUGACGGGGUCU